This 1138-nucleotide long non-coding RNA is filed under the name Anas platyrhynchos platyrhynchos (common mallard). RNAcentral's name for it is "lncRNA (ENSAPLG00000026777.1)". The record is from RNAcentral. Lineage: Eukaryota; Metazoa; Chordata; Aves; Anseriformes; Anatidae.
AGCCAGGGGGGAACCCAGAGCCCCCCAGCGGGUCACAGGGGGAGGGGGCUGCAGGACCUGGGGGGGGUCCCGGGCAACCUGGGGGGGUCCCUGGGCAACCUGGGGGGGGUCCUCUGGCAGCGGGGGGUGGGCGGCUCAGGCCCCGGUGCCCCCCCCGCGGCUGCUUUGAUGCGGUGCACCGCAGGGCAAUGGGAGCCACAUGGCGGGGGGGGCACCGGGGGGGCACAGGGGGGCGAGGGGACACGUGGGGGAGGGGAGGAGGGGGAGGGGGGGGGGGGGGGGACACCGCGGACCCCAAAAUCCAUCUGGGAUGUGCGGGUCUGUCCCUGCCCUGCUGGGGUCUCGUCCCCAUUGUCUUGGGGUCCCUCCCUGGUGUUUUGGGGUCUGUUCACGGCAUUUUGGGGUCCAUCCCCGGUAUCCUGGGGUCUUGUCCCCAUUAUUUUGGGGUCUGUCCCUUGUAUCUUGGGGUCCGUCCCCAUUAUCUUGGGGUCUGUCCCUGGUAUCUUGGGGUCUGUCCCUGAUAUUUUGGGGUCCGUCCUUGAUAUUUUGGGGUCCAUCCCCAGUACCUCAGGAUCCGUCCUUGAUAUCUUGGGGUCCAUCCCCAGCAUCUCAGGGUCUUGUCCCCAUUAUCUUGGGGUCCAUCCCCGGCAUUGUGGGGUCCAUCCCUGCAAUCUUGGGGUCUCCCUGGUAUCUUGGGGUCUGUCCCUAAUAUCUUGGGGUCCAUCCCCAGCAUCUUGGGGUUUGUCCCCAGCACCUUGGGGUCUCCCUGAUAUCUUGGGGUCUGUUCCCAGCAUUUUGGGGUCCAUCCCUGGUAUCUUGGGAUCAGUCCCUAAUAUUUUGGGGUCCAUCCCCAGCACCUUGGGGUCCAUCUCCAGCAUUUUGGGGUCCAUCCCUGCUAUCUUGGGGUCUCCCCAUUAUCUUGGGGUCCACCCCCGGCAUCUCGGGGCCCGUCCCCGCCACCCCAGGUCGCGUCCCCGCCGUCCCGGUGUCGGUGUCCCCGGUGUCCCCGGUGUCCCCGGGGGCCGAUCCCAUUGCCGGGUAUUUCUGGCCCCGGGAUAAUUAAAGGCAGCUCCGGGGCGUGGGCACCGCUCGGCCCCGCAGCAACCUCUGCCCCCGGCUUCCCCGCGGCCUGGGGACC